GGCGGCGGNGGUAGUAACACGUGGGUAACCUACCUAUAAGACUGGGAUAACUUCGGGAAACCGGAGCUAAUACCGGAUAAUAUUUCGAACCGCAUGGUUCGAUAGUGAAAGGUGGUUUUGCUAUCACUUAUAGAUGGACCCGCGCCGUAUUAGCUAGUUGGUAAGGUAACGGCUUACCAAGGCGACGAUACGUAGCCGACCUGAGAGGGUGAUCGGCCACACUGGAACUGAGACACGGUCCAGACUCCUACGGGAGGCAGCAGCG
Molecule: ribosomal RNA, 265 nt
Filed under: uncultured Staphylococcus sp.
Lineage: Bacteria; Bacillati; Bacillota; Bacilli; Caryophanales; Staphylococcaceae
Description: partial 16S ribosomal RNA
Rfam family: Bacterial small subunit ribosomal RNA
Source: RNAcentral